CCCUUAGAUGUUCUGGGCUGCACGCGCGCUACACUGAAGCGUUCAACGAGUAUUCACCUUGCCCGGGAGGGUUGGGUAAUCUUUUGAAAACGCUUCGUGAUGGGGAUAGAUUAUUGCAAUUAUUAAUCUUCAACGAGGAAUACCUAGUAAGUGCGAGUCAUCAGCUUGCGCUGACUUACGUCCCUGCCCCUUGUACACACCGCCCGUCGCUGCCCGGAACUGAGCCGUUUCGAGAAAGCCGGGGACUGACGGCUUGUGGGUGCGCAAGCGCUUCUUGCCGAUGGAAACCAGUUUAAUCGGUAUGGCUUGAACCGGGCAAAAGUCGUAACA
This 330-nucleotide ribosomal RNA is filed under the name uncultured eukaryote. RNAcentral describes it as "partial 18S ribosomal RNA". It matches the Rfam family "Eukaryotic small subunit ribosomal RNA", at positions 1470 to 1796 of the family's 1831-position model. The record is from RNAcentral.